GAUGAAGAACGUAGUGAAAUGCGAUAAGUAGUGUGAAUUGCAGAAUUCAGUGAAUCAUCGAAUCUUUGAACGCACAUUGCGCCCCUUGGUAUUCCAUGGGGCAUGCCUGUUCGAGCGUCAUUUGUACCCUCAAGCUUUGCUUGGUGUUGGGCGUCUUGUCGUAUUACGACUCGCCUUAAAUACAUUGGCAGCCGGCACUUUGGCCUAGGAGCGCAGCACAUUUUGCGAUCGUAGCCCGUUGUACUGGCGUCCAUCAAGAACAUUUACCACGUUUGACCUCGGAUCAGGUAGGGAUACCCGCUGAACUUAAGCAUAUCAAUAAGCGGAGGA
RNAcentral lists this unclassified non-coding RNA (330 nucleotides) under soil metagenome. RNAcentral describes it as "partial contains 5.8S ribosomal RNA, internal transcribed spacer 2, and large subunit ribosomal RNA". The stretch from base 1 to 120 matches the Rfam family "5.8S ribosomal RNA", at positions 35 to 154 of the family's 154-position model. The record is from RNAcentral.